This 315-nucleotide ribosomal RNA is filed under the name Triticum aestivum (bread wheat). Its description in RNAcentral is "partial small subunit ribosomal RNA". The record is from RNAcentral. Lineage: Eukaryota; Viridiplantae; Streptophyta; Magnoliopsida; Poales; Poaceae.
AUGGGUACAAUGGCUGGUGCUAUGGAUAAAUUCGACCAGAUGGUUGGCAUACCAAUUGAAAGAAGAAGCCUUGCUGAGUUUUUCUACAUCAUACAACCUGCCAUCGACUCUGAUAGGCUCCUUCUGCAGAAAGGUUCUAAUCCACAUCCAUUGUACCAAGCACCAGUAUCUGGACAUUGCAAAGGUGAUGAAGGGGGAGGGGUGUCUGUACAAUGUCCUGUGACAUGGUUCAUGUGUAUUGGUUGUCUUUUGUCUUUUGAGUUAAUGCUAGAAUUAUUUGUUGCAGCUAACCUGGGGUCUUAUGCAGUUUUGUAA